This 496-nucleotide ribosomal RNA is filed under the name uncultured bacterium. RNAcentral's name for it is "partial 16S ribosomal RNA". It matches the Rfam family "Bacterial small subunit ribosomal RNA", at positions 29 to 507 of the family's 1533-position model. The record is from RNAcentral.
AUGAACGCUGGCGGCGUGCCUAAUACAUGCAAGUCGAGCGAACAGACGAGGAGCUUGCUCCUCUGACGUUAGCGGCGGACGGGUGAGUAACACGUGGAUAACCUACCUAUAAGACUGGGAUAACUUCGGGAAACCAGAGCUAAUACCGGAUAAUAUAUUGAACCGCAUGGUUCAAUAGUGAAAGACGGUUUUGCUGUCACUUAUAGAUGGAUCCGCGCCGCAUUAGCUAGUUGGUAAGGUAACGGCUUACCAAGGCGACGAUGCGUAGCCGACCUGAGAGGGUGAUCGGCCACACUGGAACUGAGACACGGUCCAGACUCCUACGGGAGGCAGCAGUAGGGAAUCUUCCGCAAUGGGCGAAAGCUUGACGGAGCAACGCCGCGUGAGUGAUGAAGGUCUUCGGAUCGUAAAACUCUGUUAUUAGGGAAGAACAAAUGUGUAAGUAACUAUGCACGUCUUGACGGUACCUAAUCAGAAAGCCACGGCUAACUACGUG